This 463-nucleotide ribosomal RNA is filed under the name uncultured bacterium. RNAcentral's name for it is "bacterial SSU rRNA". It matches the Rfam family "Bacterial small subunit ribosomal RNA", at positions 331 to 792 of the family's 1533-position model. The record is from RNAcentral.
CCAGACUCCUACGGGAGGCAGCAGUGAGGAAUAUUGGUCAAUGGGCGAGAGCCUGAACCAGCCAAGUCGCGUGAGGGACGACGGCCCUACGGGUUGUAAACCUCUUUUGCCGGGGGACAAACGGCGGCACGCGUGCCGUCCUGAGGGUACCCGGAGAAAAAGCAUCGGCUAACUCCGUGCCAGCAGCCGCGGUAAUACGGAGGAUGCGAGCGUUAUCCGGAUUUAUUGGGUUUAAAGGGUGCGUAGGCGGGAUGCCAAGUCAGCGGUAAAAAUGCGGUGCUCAACGCCGUCGAGCCGUUGAAACUGGCGUUCUUGAGUGGGCGAGAAGUAUGCGGAAUGCGUGGUGUAGCGGUGAAAUGCAUAGAUAUCACGCAGAACUCCGAUUGCGAAGGCAGCGUACCGGCGCCCGACUGACGCUGAGGCACGAAAGCGUGGGUAUCGAACAGGAUUAGAUACCCCCGUA